RNAcentral lists this ribosomal RNA (600 nucleotides) under bacterium enrichment culture clone T44x_EXP-C011_T3-_G11. Its description in RNAcentral is "bacterial SSU rRNA". It matches the Rfam family "Bacterial small subunit ribosomal RNA", at positions 115 to 752 of the family's 1533-position model. The record is from RNAcentral.
GCGUGAGAACCUGCCUUGGGGUCUGGGAUAGCUGCGGGAAACUGCAGGUAACACCGGAUACGCACGAGAGUGGAAAGUUUACGCCCUGGGAUGGCCCGCGUCGGAUUAGGUAGUUGGUGGGGUAACGGCCUACCAAGCCUGCGAUCCGUAACCGGUCUGAGAGGAUGAUCGGUCACACUGGGACUGAGACACGGCCCAGACUCCUACGGGAGGCAGCAGUGGGGAAUCUUGGACAAUGGGGGCAACCCUGAUCCAGCGACGCCGCGUGGGUGAUGAAGGCCUUCGGGUCGUAAAGCCCUUUUGCCGGGGAAGAUGAUGACGGUACCCGGAGAAGAAGCACCGGCUAACUCUGUGCCAGCAGCCGCGGUAAGACAGAGGGUGCUAGCGUUGUUCGGAAUUACUGGGCGUAAAGGGCGCGUAGGCGGCUCGUUUAGUCGGGUGUGAAAUCCCGGGGCUCAACCCCGGAACUGCAUUCGAUACUGGCGGGCUAGAGACCGAGAGAGGUGGGUGGAAUACCCAGUGUAGAGGUGAAAUUCGUAGAUAUUGGGUGGAACACCGGUGGCGAAGGCGGCUCACUGGCUCGGGUUCUGACGCUGAGGC